AUUGAACGCUGGCGGCAUGCCUUACACAUGCAAGUCGAACGGUAACGCGGGGUAACCUGGCGACGAGUGGCGAACGGGUGAGUAAUAUAUCGGAACGUGUCCAGUAGUGGGGGAUAGCCCGGCGAAAGCCGGAUUAAUACCGCAUACGACCUACGGGUGAAAGCGGGGGAUCGCAAGACCUUGCGCUAUUGAGGCGGCCGAUAUCAGAUUAGGUUGUUGGUGGGGUAAAGGCCUACCAAGCCGACGAUCUGUAGCUGGUCUGAGAGGACGACCAGCCACACUGGGACUGAGACACGGCCCAGACUCCUACGGGAGGCAGCAGUGGGGAAUUUUGGACAAUGGGCGCAAGCCUGAUCCAGCCAUGCCGCGUGCGGGAAGAAGGCCUUCGGGUUGUAAACCGCUUUUGUCAGGGAAGAAACGCUCUGGGCUAAUAUCCCAGGGUAAUGACGGUACCUGAAGAAUAAGCACCGGCUAACUACGUGCCAGCAGCCGCCGGUAA
Molecule: ribosomal RNA, 499 nt
Filed under: uncultured bacterium
Lineage: Bacteria
Description: partial 16S ribosomal RNA
Rfam family: Bacterial small subunit ribosomal RNA
Source: RNAcentral